GACUAUUCAAGGUUGAUUUUCUUUGGGGGAUGGUCUGUGACAAUUUGUGAUGGUUGUGCCUUACCACUCAAGCCAGAGUUCUACACUUUGCUCACCUGGGGUCCUUAGAAGCUGUUAUUUUAACCAUCCUUCCUGAGACCAAGGGGACAUUCUCCCUUAGGAGAGCUGGAGUUUGCUAGCACUUUCUCUCCUCUGCCUAUCUAUAAUUUAAGUAUUCUGUUACUGAGUGCCCACCCUCCAGACAUCUUCAAGUAACUAAGUGAAGUAAAAUUCUGAUACUUAAUUUAUUAAGAUACUGCAUGGCUUUCUCUGAGUUACAGAGUGAUGCUAGGAAACUGCUCAACUCUCUAAAAGCUAGGACUAUGUCACAAACAAUUGCUUAAGAAACUCCUAUGAUGGACCAAGCUCCUGUGCCUGUCUGCCGUUGGAAGUUGCCAAAGAAAGAGUGUAAGAUCUGCAUCUAUUUAUAAAACGAAGCAUGGAUGGUGUGGGUAUUGUACUGAGUGGAUUAGAACUUCAAAUGCUGCAAAGAUACAAAAGUGCUUUACUGUAAAAUCCAAGACACAGCUCCCUGAGGAAAGGAACAGUGCUUCAAUGAAUCUCAGCUGUAGGCUUGUGUAUUCUUCUACAGCAAUCAAAACCAAUGAAAAAUAGCCUUCAUUGAUAAUACUCUUAAUGUCUGCAUUUCAGCACUUGGAGAAAACAUCCUAUUCAAGUCUAAACAUCUAGAAAGAUCUGGGAACUUCUGGACAGAAAAGAAAGCCUAUUAAAGAUAUGGUUGUACAUAGAGUUUUAGUCCCCCAUAUUUGUACAGUUUUACUGCUUCAUGUCCUCACCAUAUAUCUUUCUUUUCCAUGUUAUUUUCACUGAGAGACCUUCUGAGAAGGUCUGUGAGAUACCCUCCUUCUAGCAAAAGUGUACAUGAGUACUUGCAUUCGCAAGUACAGAUUCUCAAAGCAAUAGAAAGGAGGUGAGAGGAGUCAGGGUGCCAGAGAGCAUGUGAAGCCAUAGAAAAAAAUAUUACAUAUUUCUAGAAAGUCUAUUUUACUGGAAGAUUUGUCAAAAAAUAUUUUUUAUAAAAGAAAAAACAGAUACAUAUUGAUUACAUAAGCAUUUCCAUAUGAAAAAGGGACUUGAAAAUAAAUUAUGAAUUUGUAAGCGGUCUCCCUCCCUCCUUUCUCAUUCUCAGUUUCUACUCCAUCUUUCCUUCUCAUUCUCCUCUGCCUUUAGGGGUGCUUCAUGAAAGUGACUGAUACAUAUUCCUAAUCUACUUCAGUUCUUUGCAAUGUUUCACAUCUUUCAGUAAAUAAACAAAAGACCUUUUGCCAAAAUGCGACAUAAACUCCCAGAUAUGGAAUAGAAAAUCAAGAGAGGAGCCAAAUCUUUUUUUUUUUUUUAAUUUAGGAAAAGUGAGAGGUAGGUU
This is a long non-coding RNA of Bos taurus (domestic cattle), 1423 nucleotides long. NCBI's taxonomy places the organism in Eukaryota, Metazoa, Chordata, Mammalia, Artiodactyla, Bovidae. The record is from Ensembl.